ACUCUUAACAACGGAUAUCUUGGUUCCCGUAUCGAUGAAGAACGCAGCAAAAUGCGAUACGUAAUGCGAAUUGCAGAAUUCAGUGAAUCAUCAAAUCUUUGAACGCAAAUUGCGCUCUCGGGAUAGGCCUGGGAGCACGCCUCUUUGAGCAUCGAUU
Molecule: ribosomal RNA, 157 nt
Filed under: uncultured Ascomycota
Lineage: Eukaryota; Fungi; Ascomycota
Description: 5.8S ribosomal RNA
Rfam family: 5.8S ribosomal RNA
About the family: 5.8S ribosomal RNA (5.8S rRNA) is a component of the large subunit of the eukaryotic ribosome. It is transcribed by RNA polymerase I as part of the 45S precursor that also contains 18S and 28S rRNA. Functionally, it is thought that 5.8S rRNA may be involved in ribosome translocation.
Source: RNAcentral